This is a long non-coding RNA of Aedes aegypti (yellow fever mosquito), 311 nucleotides long. RefSeq lists it as uncharacterized. NCBI's taxonomy places the organism in Eukaryota, Metazoa, Arthropoda, Insecta, Diptera, Culicidae. The record is from RefSeq and is a predicted model, not a curated record. The transcript is spliced from 2 exons.
CUAUCAAUUGUAAAUAGCAAAUUAAACUUAGGAAUAAUCUCAUUGAGACAAAAACAGUCAUUCAAACAACUGUUCUACAGUUCGGUACCGCCAAUCGUGGUACACUUGCUGGAUUUAAGAACCUGAACAACGAUGAAAAUCAUCACAGUGCAACUUCAACACCAUGCCUAAGAGGACCCAUCAAGAAGCAAACAAAUCCAGCGCCAAGAUGGAAAAUAAUCAGAGCAAUCCUAAUCUCCUGCCAAAGCGAAUCGAGGAGCUGAAAUAUUUCAUCCGCAUGAAGAAUAUACGUAAGGAUCAGUAUCUGAAGA